GCGGGUAGAAACUAUUUGGGACUAAUGACUGACCUCUCUAAGUACUUUAAUACACUACAUUAUACAUUAGAACCAAUAUCCAACAACCAAUUUACACCAUUUUUGUUUUCCCCCUUCUUUUAUUUUGCCCUAUCUCUUUUAAGUAUUUUCACAAAUACAUGGUGGGCAUAUUGUUUAUUCCUUUAAGAUUUAAUUUUUCUCAUUCACUACAAUCAAGGGAAUAUUUCUAACACCAUUUAUAUCACUCAUAACCAC
Molecule: long non-coding RNA, 255 nt
Filed under: Capsicum annuum
Lineage: Eukaryota; Viridiplantae; Streptophyta; Magnoliopsida; Solanales; Solanaceae
Description: long non-coding RNA (CANN_LNC013869)
Source: RNAcentral